Molecule: unclassified non-coding RNA, 262 nt
Filed under: Glomeraceae sp.
Lineage: Eukaryota; Fungi; Glomeromycota; Glomeromycetes; Glomerales; Glomeraceae
Description: partial contains 5.8S ribosomal RNA and internal transcribed spacer 2
Rfam family: 5.8S ribosomal RNA (bases 1-65)
Source: RNAcentral
GUGAAUCAUCGAAUUUUUGAACGCAAGUUGCACUCUCCUCGGAGAGUAUGCCUGUUUGAGGGUCAGCCUAUAAAAAAUCGACAUCGUUGCUGUUUCGCGGUGGCGUUCGUCGGAAAUUGGGUUAUUUUUAAUCCUUUUGGUUUUUAAGCGACUUAAAAUUUUCUUUUUGGUUCCAUGAACGUUUCUAAGAUUUAUUUUUUUACACGUUUAAGGUAUCGUUUUUUAUUAGACGUGACAAUCCUAUCGGAUUCCGUCCAUAUUC